This is a long non-coding RNA of Sipha flava (yellow sugarcane aphid), 516 nucleotides long. RefSeq lists it as uncharacterized. Lineage: Eukaryota; Metazoa; Arthropoda; Insecta; Hemiptera; Aphididae. The transcript is spliced from 3 exons. The record is from RefSeq and is a predicted model, not a curated record.
UUGUAUUGAUUUUUAUUUUUAUUUACAGAACCUGGAUUUUUUUUUUCUUAAACCAAGGAUUCUUCGGAAGCCAAGUUGCCAUAAAUUUAAAUUGAUCUAUCUAAUUUUGUUUCAAAAUAUUCAAAUUUUAAUUCAUUUCAUUUUAUAUUUUUUUUCAGAACUUGGAUUUUAUUUUUUUGAUUCAAACUUAAGAAAGUGUCUUUCAAGAUCUAGAACUUGGAUUUUUAAUUUCCUAUCAACAAUCCAUCUAAGGAAUUUACAGACCCUUGUGGUAGAUUCUUCAGGUUGGGUGUGGUCAGGUCAGGUUGAUCUGUGUGCAAACACUUCAUCAUCGUAAAAAACUAUUUUUCAGGAAUUCAUCAAUUAUAUCGAGAAGAGUAAUGGAAACAAGAUUGGAGUUAUCUAUAUUUAAAACAUGGAUUUUCUUUUUUGUAUCAACAACACAUGUAACCUAAACAAGGAUUUUUCGGGAGCCAGGUAAUCACUUUUAAUUUUUUUUUUUUUGUUAAAUUUUAU